ACUGGGUCUAAUACCGGAUAUGACCUUACAUCGCAUGGUGUUUGGUGGAAAGAUUUAUUGGUGCGAGAUGGGCCCGCGGCCUAUCAGCUUGUUGGUGGGGUAAUGGCCUACCAAGGCGACGACGGGUAGCCGGCCUGAGAGGGCGACCGGCCACACUGGGACUGAGACACGGCCCAGACUCCUACGGGAGGCAGCAGUGGGGAAUAUUGCACAAUGGGCGAAAGCCUGAUGCAGCGACGCCGCGUGAGGGAUGACGGCCUUCGGGUUGUAAACCUCUUUCGACAGGGACGAAGCGCAAGUGACGGUACCUGUAGAAAAAGCACCGGCCAACUACGUGCCAGCAGCCGCGGUAAUACGUAGGGUGCGAGCGUUGUCCGGAAUUACUGGGCGUAAAGAGCUUGUAGGCGGCUUGUCGCGUCGAUCGUGAAAACUUGGGGCUCAACCCCAAGCUUGCGGUCGAUACGGGCAGGCUUGAGUACUUCAGGGGAGACUGGAAUUCCUGGUGUAGCGGUGAAAUGCGCAGAUAUCAGGAGGAACACCGGUGGCGAAGGCGGGUCUCUGGGAAGUAACUGACGCUGAGAAGCGAAAGCGUGAGUAGCGAACAGGAUUAGAUACCCUGGUAGUCCACGCCGUAAACGGUGAGUACUAGGUGUGGGUUUCCUUCCACGGGAUCCGUGCCGUAGCUAACGCAUUAAGUACCCCGCCUGGGGAGUACGGGCCGCAAGGCUAAAACUCAAAGGAUUUGACGGGGGCCCGCACAAGCGGCGG
RNAcentral lists this ribosomal RNA (768 nucleotides) under Nocardia cyriacigeorgica. RNAcentral describes it as "bacterial SSU rRNA". It matches the Rfam family "Bacterial small subunit ribosomal RNA", at positions 156 to 935 of the family's 1533-position model. The record is from RNAcentral. Lineage: Bacteria; Bacillati; Actinomycetota; Actinomycetes; Mycobacteriales; Nocardiaceae.